RNAcentral lists this microRNA precursor (61 nucleotides) under Pristionchus pacificus. Its description in RNAcentral is "mir-8364 microRNA precursor family". It matches the Rfam family "mir-8364 microRNA precursor family". Lineage: Eukaryota; Metazoa; Nematoda; Chromadorea; Rhabditida; Neodiplogasteridae. The record is from Rfam by way of RNAcentral.
UCUUCGUUUCGCACACUAUCUCGCCUCUCUGACCGCCGAGAGAGUGUGUGAAAUGAAGAGA